GUUAUAGGAUCAAGCGAAUAAGUGCAUAUGAUGGAUGCCUUGGCGAUCACAGGCGAUGAAGGACGCGGUAGCCUGCGAAAAGCUACGGGGAGCUGGCAAACAAGCUUUGAUCCGUAGAUGUCCGAAUGGGGAAACCCACCGUAGUAAUACGGUAUCCCAUGCUGAAUACAUAGGCAUGUGGAGGCGAACCGAGUGAACUGAACCAUCUCAGUAACUCGAGGAAAAGAAAUCAACCGAGAUUCCGGAAGUAGUGGCGAGCGAAACCGGACCAGCCUGGAUGUUUUAGCGUAGUGAAUAGUCGAAUGGAAUGGAAAGUCCAGCCGUAGCAGGUGAUAGCCCUGUAGGCGAAAUUCAGUACGUGGAACUAAGCAUCGAACAAGUAGGGCGGGACACGUGAAAUCCUGUCUGAAUAUGGGGGGACCAUCCUCCAAGGCUAAAUACUCGUGAUCGACCGAUAGUGAACCAGUACCGUGAGGGAAAGGCGAAAAGAACCCCGGAAGGGGAGUGAAAUAGAUCCUGAAAUCGUAUGCAUACAAACAGUAGGAGCACCUUCGUGGUGUGACUGCGUACCUUUUGUAUAAUGGGUCAGCGACUUACAUUCAGUGGCAAGCUUAACCGAAUAGGGGAGGCGUAGCGAAAGCGAGUCCGAAUAGGGCGAUUCAGUCGCUGGGUGUAGACCCGAAACCAGGCGAUCUAUCCAUGGCCAGGUUGAAGGCACGGUAACACGUGCUGGAGGACCGAACCCACUAAUGUUGAAAAAUUAGGGGAUGAGCUGUGGAUCGGAGUGAAAGGCUAAACAAGCCUGGAGAUAGCUGGUUCUCUCCGAAAACUAUUUAGGUAGUGCCUCGUAUAUUACUGCCGGGGGUAGAGCACUGUUAUGGCUAGGGGGUCACAGCGACUUACCAACCCAUGGCAAACUCCGAAUACCGGCAAGUACAGUACGGGAGACAGAGCACCGGGUGCUAACGUCCGGACUCAAGAGGGAAACAACCCAGACCGCCAGCUAAGGUCCCUAACUAUGGCUAAGUGGGAAACGAAGUGGGAAGGCAUAGACAGUCAGGAGGUUGGCUUAGAAGCAGCCAUCCUUUAAAGAAAGCGUAAUAGCUCACUGAUCGAGUCGUC
Molecule: ribosomal RNA, 1122 nt
Filed under: Alcaligenes faecalis
Lineage: Bacteria; Pseudomonadati; Pseudomonadota; Betaproteobacteria; Burkholderiales; Alcaligenaceae
Description: bacterial LSU rRNA
Rfam family: Bacterial large subunit ribosomal RNA
Source: RNAcentral